UAACCUACCCAAGAGAUCGGGAUAACACCUGGAAACAGAUGCUAAUACCGGAUAACAACAGAUGAUGCCUAUCAACUGUUUAAAAGAUGGUUCUGCUAUCACUCUUGGAUGGACCUGCGGUGCAUUAGCUAGUUGGUAGGGUAACGGCCUACCAAGGCGAUGAUGCAUAGCCGAGUUGAGAGACUGAUCGGCCACAUUGGGACUGAGACACGGCCCAAACUCCUACGGGAGGCAGCAGCU
Molecule: ribosomal RNA, 240 nt
Filed under: uncultured Lactobacillus sp.
Lineage: Bacteria; Bacillati; Bacillota; Bacilli; Lactobacillales; Lactobacillaceae
Description: partial 16S ribosomal RNA
Rfam family: Bacterial small subunit ribosomal RNA
Source: RNAcentral